UACGGAGAGUGCGAGCGUUAAUCGGAGUUACUGGGCGUAAAGGGCGCGUAGGCGGUUAUAUAAGUGAGAUGUGAAAUCCCUGGGCUUAACCUAGGAACUGCAUCUCAUACUGUAUGGCUAGAGUAUUGUAGAGGGUAGUGGAAUUUCCGGUGUAGCGGUGAAAUGCGUAGAGAUCAGAAGGAACACCAGUGGCGAAGGCGGCUACCUGGACAGAUACUGACGCUGAGGCGCGAGAGCGUGGGGAGCAAACAGG
Molecule: ribosomal RNA, 253 nt
Filed under: uncultured bacterium
Lineage: Bacteria
Description: partial 16S ribosomal RNA
Rfam family: Bacterial small subunit ribosomal RNA
Source: RNAcentral